UACAGAGGGUGCAAGCGUUAAUCGGAAUUACUGGGCGUAAAGCGCGCGUAGGUGGUUUGUUAAGUUGGAUGUGAAAUCCCCGGGCUCAACCUGGGAACUGCGUUGGAAACUGUCAGGCUAGAGUAUGGGAGAGGGAGGUAGAAUUCCACGUGUAGCAGUGAAAUGCGUAGAGAUGUGGAGGAAUACCGAUGGCGAAGGCAGCCUCCUGGCCUAAUACUGACGCUCAUGCACGAAAGCGUGGGGAGCAAACAGGAUUAGAAACCCUGGUAGU
RNAcentral lists this ribosomal RNA (271 nucleotides) under uncultured bacterium. RNAcentral describes it as "partial 16S ribosomal RNA". It matches the Rfam family "Bacterial small subunit ribosomal RNA", at positions 524 to 794 of the family's 1533-position model. The record is from RNAcentral.